Schistosoma mansoni is the source of this 45-nucleotide non-coding RNA. The record is from Rfam. NCBI's taxonomy places the organism in Eukaryota, Metazoa, Platyhelminthes, Trematoda, Strigeidida, Schistosomatidae.
AUCCAACUGACGAGUCCCAAAUAGGACGAAACGCGCGUCCAGGAU